GACGAACCGUGCGAACGUUGUUCGGAAUCACUGGGCUUAAAGGGCGCGUAGGCGGGCGGUCAAGUCUAUGGUGAAAUCCAACAGCUUAACUGUUGAACUGCCACGGAUACUGAUUGUCUCGAGGAAGGUAGGGGCGUGCGGAACAAAUGGUGGAGCGGUGAAAUGCAUUGAUAUCAUUUGGAACUCCGGUGGCGAAGGCGGCACGCUGGACCUUUUCUGACGCUGAGGCGCGAAAGCCAGGGGAGCAAACGGGAUUAGAUACCCCGGUAGUCCUGGCCCUAAACGUUGGGUACUAGAUAGUAGUCUAGCAUGGGAUUACUGUCGAAGCUAAAGUGCUAAGUACCCCGCCUGGGGAGUAUGGUCGCAAGGCUGAA
Molecule: ribosomal RNA, 374 nt
Filed under: uncultured bacterium
Lineage: Bacteria
Description: bacterial SSU rRNA
Rfam family: Bacterial small subunit ribosomal RNA
Source: RNAcentral